Molecule: long non-coding RNA, 461 nt
Organism: Cryptomeria japonica (Japanese cedar)
Lineage: Eukaryota; Viridiplantae; Streptophyta; Pinopsida; Cupressales; Cupressaceae
Exons: 2
Source: RefSeq, a predicted model, not a curated record
GAAAACAAAUAAAUGAAAGGCAAAAAGUUCCCCUUAUACUUUUUGGGUAUAUUAGGGCAAUAGAAAUGCCAAAUCAUUUAUUCUAUCUUCUUUGGCAUUCGAUGUUCCUUUCUCUGGUCCGAGACUUGGCACCGCUUUGAGGGUUUGACAUGGGGUUCUCUAUGAGAUUUUUUUGUAGGUCGACAUUCAUCUACAGGUCGCAUCUGAUGCAGGCACCUAGGAGAAGCACAUAGAAAGCAACAGUUGGAUGCAAGUUGGAUGGAAGACUAAAGAUGAUACAAGGCAAUUGAACCGAGACUCGUCAUUUAGGCAAUGACGAGUCACCCUUCUUUAUAUGUGCAUUCAUUUUUCCUUGCAUCUACAAAUGUAUAAUGUUUUCUUUUAUUUGCAUUAUAAGAGUUCGGCUUGUGUGAGACAUUAUCCAUUUAUGUUAUCAAUAAAUAUUACUCUUUUUUCAAAAA